GAUACCAUACCAGGGCUGUCUCCACAGCUGCGUGCUUUUCAGUUCCCCUCUCCCCAGAACUCUUAACCUUAUUCUCACACUCUGUGAGGUUUCCAUGUUGGCAAGAAAGCUGAAAAAAUGUCAAGCAUACCCAGAUGAGGAGACUUAGAAGAGAUGCUUGUGGCUUUAGCUCAGCUGCCUGGACUACAGCCUUUCUAAGAACCCAACCACUUGGAUUUUGGAUAUAAUACUCAGAGAGUCUCACAUAGGCCCAUAAAGAUUUAUUGCAGCUCUUUUGGAGGGAAUUGGAAGCAAUCAAGGCGUCCAUUGGAGGAAAGGAGAUAAUCAAAAUGCGGUGGAUGAAUACCACAGAGUAUCAUGCAGCCAGUAGAAACAACAGACUGGGCACAGAUAUAACAAGCUGUACAGAGCUAAAAUAAAUGGUACUGAGUGAAAAAAAAAGAAACACAACAUCAAUAUAUAACACAAUAUAUCAAUAUAACACA
RNAcentral lists this long non-coding RNA (485 nucleotides) under Capra hircus (goat). RNAcentral's name for it is "lncRNA (ENSCHIG00000005869.1)". The record is from RNAcentral. Lineage: Eukaryota; Metazoa; Chordata; Mammalia; Artiodactyla; Bovidae.